AACAUCUUAGUUUCACAAUAUUAGCUAGCAGUCAUCAUCAUGAUUCAUGAAUCAAGUCUACUGGCAAAUCUUUUUUAAUUCUUGUCCUAUGAAGAGAAAUAAUAUAGAUAAAAACGUAUCGGUGCUCAUCGGCCAUUGAACAUAAACAUUACACAACAAUUUGGAAAUCGCUAAUUCAACAAUGAGUUGUUUGGAAGGAAUCAGUGACAUUGGCUAACCGCAAGCAUUGCAACUGGGAAGUCAGACUGGGAAAAUAUGUUUUGAACAGUCUACCAACUCGGAAUUGUAAUUAUUUUCUUUGAUGACAAAAUUUGCACAACUAGGUAGACUGUGCAUUGCCUCCGUGUGCGACUGCCUUGAGCAGCAGUUUGAGGGACUUUGCAGGAAAAUGCCAUGCAGUAAGGCGUAGGGGAUUGUUUACAGCAGGACGACCCCCAGUGGAUGGGUGCCGAGGGGUGUGGUGCUCCUCCAGCAGCUCUCAUGAGGUUCUCUCUGUACUUUUGGUGGUCUACCUUCCCUGUGGCCGACAUGGUUGCUGUAUGGAUAGUAGAAAGGACAUGGAUGUAUCGUUUGUCAUGUCACUUUACUGCCAACCGUUACCUGUUCUCCUGGAACUCCACCUCCCCCCUCUGCAUCUUCCUGCUUCCGAAUGCCGGCAUCCACUUCCUAUUCGACCGAACCGUGCCACAGGUCCCAGUGCUGUUGGAGAGCAGAAGCUGGAAGAGUGUAGGACUGUUGUACCAAUUCAAAUAAAUAUCAAAUGUUAUUGGUCGCAUACAGAUAAUUGGCAGAUGUUAUUGCAGGUGCAGCUAAAUGCUUAUGUUUCUUGCGGAAAUAGUGCAGUAAUACCUAACAAUACAAAACAAUACACACAAAUCCCAAGAAAUGUAAAGAAAGAAAUUAAGAAAUAAUACAAAGUGUGGCCCUUACCAAGAUGAGGGACGAGCAUGGUCCUCAUAAGCAUGGUCCUCAUAAGCCCCUCAUAACGUUGGAUAUCAGUGGUGGACCCUGUGUAGACUAUAAUGUCUUUGACAAAUCCUGCCUUCACUUCGCAUAUAACAAAGAACUUCACCCCAAACCUGUGCCUUUUAAAGUGAAUAUAUUGAUGGAAAACCAGCAUACCCUUCCAUAACAUCAGGGACUAACUAACUAACGUGCUUCUAUAUCUGCAUUGCUUGCUGUUUGGGGUUUUAGGCUGGGUUUCUGUGUAGCACUUUGUGACAUCUGCUGAUGUAAAAAGGUCGUUAUAAAUACAUUUGAUUGAUUGAUUGAACUAAUGCAGCAGCAUAGGUGAAUUCGCGUAGGAGGUUAAGAGAACGAGGUUAGGAAAAGGGUUAGGCUUAGCUACAAUCCAAGGGGCCAGGGUUCUGGUCUUGAAGCACGAUUUUGACUGCUCUUACAGUUUUGCUUUGGUACUGCAAUUUAACUGACUCCCGGCCCAGAAAGACAAUUUCCAUACACGGCCACAUAGAGAAGUCAGAUUUGAAAAUUCCUAAUAAGACACUUAAAACAUCCAUUGAAUUAUUUAAACUGAAUCACUCACAACCGAAGAUAUUAGCAUUUUAUAUUCAUUCAAUGCCUGCCAUGUUUUUGGAUGAUGUGAUGACGACUUUGUCGCUGCUCCCUGUGCGCAGUGAGUGCUACAGUAUGUUGGUCCUUAUUAACCGGAUGCAAAAUAGGAGGGGGGUGUAACUCUAUAUUAGGAAGGUGUUCCUAAUAUUUGGUAUACUCAGUGUAUAUACUGUAUUCUUGUCAAGGCUCAUCCUAUGUAUUGUAACUACUGCUCUACAGACUUUUUCUAUUUAUAUACUGUCCAUAAUAUUCUAGUGUCAAAAUUGUGAAGUGUAAAUAGUAUAAUUUUGGUCAUAAAGUCAGUCUCGUCCAAAAAGGAGAUGAUAGGAAAAUGUAUGUCACAGAAUGAAGGGUAAAUAACAGUUUUCUGUGGGCUGGGUUUAUUUUAUUCCUACCCACAUGCCCACAGCUGGCAAGUAAUCAUCAAUUCAGAGCGCAGCUGCACAGGACCCGAUCGUAAUGCCAUGGUCAAUUUGGUUUGACAUUCGAUAUCCCUAUGGGGUUAUUUGUACAUCUCACUGGGCACACACUGGUUGAAUCAAUGUUGUUUCCAUGUAAUUUCAAUUAAAUUACGUUGAACCAAUGUGGAAUUGACGUUGAAUUGAUGUCAGUGCCCAGUGGAAUGGGGCAAUAUUUUAAAAGGUAACAGCUCCAACUUUCUAUGACUUAAAAACCUCAAACCAACUUUAAAUUCAAGAAAGUCAUAUACAAAUAUUGAAAGCAUUUAAUGAGACAACUGAAAGAUGUGAAUUUACAUUGUGCAAUUUAUUGACAGUCCCUAAUUAUCCCCAGAGAUAGGCUAUCCAAAGUCAAACCAACUUUGCCACGGUUGCACACCAGCCCGUUGAAAAUAAUUGGCGAAAUAAUUUGGCUAACUCUUCCCACCUGCGAACACACAGAAGAGACACCCAAAACACCCCCCAAAACUAACUCAUGUUUGAAUUCAGUCAUGGUCGCUAGCAUUUGAACCAAAUCUAAAACGUGGCCAAAUGAGGAAUUGCAGUCGCCCUUUAACAAUUUACAGACAUUUUUUCAAAAACACAUUUACUGGAAGAACUGCGCAGAUGCAAAGUUUGGUAAAAGAAUUUCAGUAAAAUGUACCUGUUUUUUAUGUGACCACGUUUUCCAAAAAACUCAGUUAAAUAUCUGCUCUGUACUGAGAUACAAAGAUGUCUGCAGCAACAAAGGGGUGUCAGCUAUAAAAAUAAAAAACAUUUUUUUGUCGUCACAUA
Molecule: long non-coding RNA, 2804 nt
Organism: Salvelinus namaycush (lake trout)
Lineage: Eukaryota; Metazoa; Chordata; Actinopteri; Salmoniformes; Salmonidae
Exons: 3
Source: RefSeq, a predicted model, not a curated record